RNAcentral lists this long non-coding RNA (349 nucleotides) under Phaseolus vulgaris (common bean). Its description in RNAcentral is "long non-coding RNA (PVUL_LNC003547)". Lineage: Eukaryota; Viridiplantae; Streptophyta; Magnoliopsida; Fabales; Fabaceae. The record is from RNAcentral.
CUUGGAAAAAUAAAUUCUGAAUACAGUAUUGAAUUUUGAAGCACUAACAACACCAUCAUAUGAAUUGGGGUUAGUCCACUUUCAAAGAUCAAUUUGUGGUCUUCACACAGUGCAUGUAUCUGACAAAAUUUCCUCCAUCCACAACCAAAUUUAACAGAAGCUUUUUUGGCCUUAUGAUAAAGAUCCUAAAAGAAAAUAAACACAUGUAUGAGAUUUAUGAAAUAAAAACAAAAAAACACCAUUAAAGAUUUUAUCAGCAAAAAAAAUAAACAAUAAAAACAACAAUGAGAACCAAGGAAGGAAAAGAUUUCACCUUGAUGCUGAAAAAAAGAUGGAUAUGAACGAAAAU